AUUUCUAAAAUUCUAAUGUCUGAGUAUAUGCUAUCAAUAAUAAUUAAGGUUUUUUUUUUUUCUUUUUAGACGGAGUCUUGCUCUGUUGCCCAGGCUGGAGUGCAGUGGCAUGAUCUUGGCUCACUGCAACCUCUGCCUCCUGGUUUAAGUAAUUCUCCUGCCUCUACCUCCUGAGUAGCUGGAACUACAGGCACGUACCACCACGCCCGGCUAAUUUUUUGUAUUUUUAAUAGAGACGGGGUUUCACUGUGUUAGCCAGGAUGUUGAUCUCCUGACCUCAUGAUCCACUCACCUCUGCCUCCCAAAGUGCUGGGAUUACAUUCAUGAGCCACUGCGUGAUUGUGUUUCUAACUGUAACUACCCUGGACAUUUUGCUAUUCACAGACAAUUGUUAUCUUGUUUUAAUCCUUUUCAAAGAUGGUUUAUAAUGAGCUAUAGAACUUUAACAGGCACUCUCAAAUACAAGCUUCUGAUAACUUUGGAGAUCAUAACAUUGGAAUAAAGGAAAAUGUACAGGACUCAUAAAGAGCUUAAAUGUUCAAGAAUAUCAAGCAAAACAAGAGUUAACUAAAUGAACUGAACUCAGAAAGCUGAAGCAACAUUUGUUUGGAAUAUUUUGCUGAUUCUUGUUUUGCUUUUCAGAGUCAAGAAAACUUAUUUGGAAUUAUUUACAGCUUUUAACAAUUAAGUAAGGUAUACACUUCUGUGAUCAAGAUUUGGAGCCUGUUUGUUUCUCUCUGCCUGGUUCCUCUAAAAUUUGGAAACUAUCUAUACAGCAAGAAAGCAGCAUCUGCAAGAAAGCCCUCACCAGGACCAAAUCAGCUGACACCUCAACCUUGGACUACCCAGCUUCCCGAACUGUGAGGUAUAGAUUUUUAUUGUUUAAGUCACCAAGGCUACGGUGUUUUUAAUAGCAGCCCAAGCCCAGGAAUACAUCAUCUGACUCACUAUUUUGAAUCAAACUCUUCAGUUUCUCCAUCAACUUAGCUGGCAGCUCCUGUCCCCAGCAGCAUCAGAGGCCCCAUGAAAAGAGCUCCAGCAGGGGCUCAGCCUGCAUGGGUCCCAUGCGGCAGCCUCAGUGUCAGAGCCUGGAUGGCAGGUGAGGCUCCAGUGACACAACCACAAUGUGAAAGUGUAAGAGUUUUUAACUACUUAUAGAUACUGGAAAGCACAGGGCACACCUGGAGACCACAGACACUGGGGUCAGAGAGCCCAGGCAGGGAGGAGAGAAGGGAACUGUAGGCCAAUGGCUUUAUUGGGUCUAGGGUGUUAUUGACAGGUUUCCAGAAGGGAGCUUUAAUGGGUGUGUUUAAAGCAGGCAAACACUGGGGCAAGAAGAUCACACUGUGACUGAGAGGUGGUCACUUUAAAUUGGAGGGCGAAUGUCACAACUGUUUCAGUUUAAAGGAAGCAGCUGGCGAGAGGGGAGCCCAGCACACUAUGCAAGAGAGAUGCCUCUAAGAUUUUAUCUGUGGCCACCGACUGGAGCCAUUUGGACCGGGUACAGCAGUGGAAACUCUGUGAUGGUGACAAACAUGGGAAUCACUCUGAUGUGACGCAGUUAAAUUUACACCUUAAAAAAUGGAUGCCAAGACAACAUAAACAAGACCCAGGGACACCAACAGGGUAUGGUGCUGUGCCCCAGAGUCAGGGUCCUGGGUUCUUACCCAGGGAAGUGAGAAAUAAAGAUAACUUUUCCCUGCUCCCUCUCUCCUCCCCUGACACUGAUCUUCCCACCCUGUACCUCCCUCUUCUGCUCCCAAACCCCCACCCAGUGCUCAGUCGCAGACAUCACUGCCUGCAGGGCAUGCACAGUGCAGCCCAUUGCACACAAACUACAAACUCACAGAAGGUGAUGACAAUUUGUGUUUGGGACGUCUGAUUGUGAAAGAGGGAGGACAGCGUACUUGCAGCCACAGAGACUGAAACUGGAACGUGAUGGAACGGGGCUGGAACGUGAUGGAGCUCUGACAUAACAGACGUGUGACUUUGUGUGAAAUGUGCAGAUCCAUGUGGAAUAAAACACAGCCUAGCCUGUGGCUGCUGCCGUCCACAUUUCCCUCAUCUUCCAACAGAAGUCAGCAGGGUCCCUCCCAGCCUGGAACCUCCCUAGAGACUGCUGACCUCCCUUGGCAGGGCCCACAGGCCAG
RNAcentral lists this long non-coding RNA (2150 nucleotides) under Homo sapiens (human). Its description in RNAcentral is "HSALNT0398075". The record is from RNAcentral. Lineage: Eukaryota; Metazoa; Chordata; Mammalia; Primates; Hominidae.